RNAcentral lists this ribosomal RNA (294 nucleotides) under Staphylococcus aureus. RNAcentral describes it as "partial 23S ribosomal RNA". It matches the Rfam family "Bacterial large subunit ribosomal RNA", at positions 1271 to 1561 of the family's 2925-position model. Lineage: Bacteria; Bacillati; Bacillota; Bacilli; Caryophanales; Staphylococcaceae. The record is from RNAcentral.
AUGUGGAGCGCUUAGAAGUGAGAAUGCCGGUGUGAGUAGCGAAAGACGGGUGAGAAUCCCGUCCACCGAUUGACUAAGGUUUCCAGAGGAAGGCUCGUCCGCUCUGGGUUAGUCGGGUCCUAAGCUGAGGCCGACAGGCGUAGGCGAUGGAUAACAGGUUGAUAUUCCUGUACCACCUAUAAUCGUUUUAAUCGAUGGGGGGACGCAGUAGGAUAGGCGAAGCGUGCGAUUGGAUUGCACGUCUAAGCAGUAAGGCUGAGUAUUAGGCAAAUCCGGUACUCGUUAAGGCUGAGC